AUUGAACGCUGGCGGCAUGCCUAACACAUGCAAGUCGAACGGUAACAGAACUAGCUUGCUAGUUGCUGACGAGUGGCGGACGGGUGAGUAAUGUAUAGGAACUUGCCCAGUAGUGGGGGACAACUUAUGGAAACGUAAGCUAAUACCGCAUAAUCUCUACGGAGGAAAGCAGGGGCUCUUUGGACCUUGCGCUAUUGGAUAGGCCUAUAUUAGAUUAGCUAGUUGGUGAGGUAAUGGCUCACCAAGGCGACGAUCUAUAGCUGGUUUGAGAGAAUGAUCAGCCACACUGGGACUGAGACACGGCCCAGACUCCUACGGGAGGCAGCAGUGGGGAAUAUUGCACAAUGGAGGAAACUCUGAUGCAGCAAUGCCGCGUGUGUGAAGAAGGCCUUAGGGUUGUAAAGCACUUUCAAUAGGGAGGAAAAGUAAGUAGUUAAUACCUGCUUACCGUGACGUUACCUAUAGAAGAAGGACCGGCUAACUCCGUGCCAGCAGCCGCGGUAAUACGGAGGGUCCGAGCGUUAAUCGGAAUUACUGGGCGUAAAGCGCGCGUAGGCGGAUAUUUAAGUCAGAUGUGAAAUCCCUGGGCUCAACCUAGGAACUGCAUUUGAAACUGGAUAUCUAGAGUAUGGUAGAGGUGAGUGGAAUUUCAGGUGUAGCGGUGAAAUGCGUAGAGAUCUGAAGGAACAUCAGUGGCGAGGCGACUCACUGGGGCCAUACUGACGCUGAGGUGCGAAAGCGUGGGAAGCAAACAGGAUUAGAUACCCUGGUAUUCCACGCCUAAACGAUGUCAACUAG
Molecule: ribosomal RNA, 798 nt
Filed under: uncultured Gammaproteobacteria bacterium
Lineage: Bacteria; Pseudomonadati; Pseudomonadota; Gammaproteobacteria
Description: bacterial SSU rRNA
Rfam family: Bacterial small subunit ribosomal RNA
Source: RNAcentral